This 444-nucleotide ribosomal RNA is filed under the name uncultured bacterium. Its description in RNAcentral is "bacterial SSU rRNA". It matches the Rfam family "Bacterial small subunit ribosomal RNA", at positions 355 to 796 of the family's 1533-position model. The record is from RNAcentral.
UGGGGAAUAUUGGUCAAUGGGCGAAAGCCUGAACCAGCAAUGCCGCGUGAGUGAUGAAGGCCCUCGGGUUGUAAAGCUCUGUCAGUGGGAACGAAGAAGCCGUUUAAUACACGGUGGUGACGGUACCCACAAAGGAAGCACCGGCUAACUCUGUGCCAGCAGCCGCGGUAAUACAGAGGGUGCAAGCGUUGUUCGGAAUUACUGGGCGUAAAGCGCGUGUAGGCGGUCUUGUAAGUCGGUUGUGAAAUCCCUUGGCUCAACCAAGGAACUGCGUCCGAAACUACUUGACUUGAGUAUCGGAGGGGAUGGCGGAAUUCCCGGUGUAGAGGUGAAAUUCGUAGAUAUCGGGAGGAACACCUGUGGCGAAGGCGGCCAUCUGGAAGAUUACUGACGCUGAGACGCGAAAGCGUGGGGAGCAAACAGGAUUAGAUACCCGUGUAGUCC